AAAAAUCCUUGGGGUGAAAAAGGGAUCAAAGGGAAUUGUGUGGGAUUGAGCUGCUCCUUCUGCCCCUUUGCAGAGCCUGCGGCGAGCGAGGAAGGCGCCGAUCCCGGCGGGAAGGAUGACCCCGAGCAGAGCUGCGUGCUGCUGCUGUCCAACCUGCCGCCCGGGGGCUCCUCUCCGGCCGAGCUCUGCAGCCUGGCCGAGCCCUUCGGGGGCCUGCGGGACCUGCUCGUCCCCUCCUCCCACAAACAGGUACGGCCCCGAAGCGCUCUGGGGCUCCUUGGGGGUUUUGGGGUUUGUUUGGGAUUUUUUAGGGAUUUUUGGGGAAUUUUGGGGAUAUUUUGAAGA
This 345-nucleotide long non-coding RNA is filed under the name Camarhynchus parvulus. RNAcentral describes it as "lncRNA (ENSCPVG00000017005.1)". The record is from RNAcentral. Lineage: Eukaryota; Metazoa; Chordata; Aves; Passeriformes; Thraupidae.